CACAAAACAGACAGAUUGUCUUCAUCUUCAAGAUGCUGUCAGUGAACUUGAGUCUGUUUGUCACUUUGUUUCUGCUCACAAUAAGAGAGUGUAAAGGAGAAGAUAAAGUGAUUCAGCCACCAGGAGAUGUCAUUGCUGCUGAAGGAGACACAGUUAUACUGGGAUGUACUUUUGAGACAACUGCUACAAGUUCUGAUUUGUUCUGGUACAAACAAGAAUUUCGCUUUCCAAAGUACAUUUUAAGACGUAGUACUUAUGGUGGAGAUGAUAAUGCUCCAGAGUUCCAUAAAGACAGAUAUGAUGCAAAACUCAACAAGACAUCAGUGUCUCUGAAGAUCCAGAAGCUUCAGCUGUCUGACUCUGCUGUGUACUACUGUGCUCUGAGGCCCACAGUGACAGGAAACAACAAAACUCUGUACAAAAACACAAGCUGACACUCUGACAAGUUGCUAAAAGUCUUUCCUCCGCUGUUGAACUCAGCUUUUUAGCUCCACUAGAGGGCCACAUUAUCAAGGAGGUGCUACAUGACUUCUGCACUGUGU
Stegastes partitus (bicolor damselfish) is the source of this 542-nucleotide non-coding RNA. Lineage: Eukaryota; Metazoa; Chordata; Actinopteri; Pomacentridae. The record is from the annotation of a RefSeq genome assembly.